Molecule: long non-coding RNA, 348 nt
Filed under: Mytilus galloprovincialis (Mediterranean mussel)
Lineage: Eukaryota; Metazoa; Mollusca; Bivalvia; Mytilida; Mytilidae
Source: RNAcentral
UAAAUUCAAAAUGCCUACAGCGAACUCGAGUAGUUGUACGAUUUCUAUGGCAAAGAGUGAAGACCAGUCGUAGUAAUACUGCCAUUCAUUUUAGUGGAAUUUUUCAGUAUAUAAAUACUUAUUAAUCAAGUUAUCUUUAAUUUUAUAAUUAACGAAAACAUAUAAUUAACAAUUCAACAACUUAAAUAUAAUCAUAUAUUAAAAACAGGAACAUGUUUUAUAAAAGGUACAUCUCUCUAAAAAGAGAAACCACGCCCCACCGGUCAUUAUCAGAGAAAUCACGCCUCAACGGUCAUUAUCAGACGGAAACCACGCCCCAACGGUCAUUAUCAGACGGAAACCACGCCC